Molecule: ribosomal RNA, 468 nt
Filed under: uncultured bacterium
Lineage: Bacteria
Description: partial 16S ribosomal RNA
Rfam family: Bacterial small subunit ribosomal RNA
Source: RNAcentral
GACGAACGCUGGCGGCGUGCUUAACACAUGCAAGUCGAACGGAAAGGCCCUGCUUUUGUGGGGUGCUCGAGUGGCGAACGGGUGAGUAACACGUGAGUAACCUGCCCUUGACUUUGGGAUAACUUCAGGAAACUGGGGCUAAUACCGGAUAGGAGCUCCUGCUGCAUGGUGGGGGUUGGAAAGUUUCGGCGGUUGGGGAUGGACUCGCGGCUUAUCAGCUUGUUGGUGGGGUAGUGGCUUACCAAGGCUUUGACGGGUAGCCGGCCUGAGAGGGUGACCGGCCACAUUGGGCCUGAGGUACGGACCAGACUCCUACGGGAGGCAACGGUGGGAAAUCUUGCACAAUGGGCGGAAGCCUGAUGCGGCAGCGUCGCGGGCGUGAUGAAGGCCUUCGGGGUGUAAACCGCUUUCGCCUGAGACGAAGCGUGAGUGACGGUAAUUGGUAAAGAAGCACCGGCUAACUACGUG